GGGGGGUCAACAGACGGGUCAACACGAGCGCGUGAACGGAGCCCGACCGUCGGCCUGUCACGCCGAGGUCACGGGUUCGAGUCCCGUCGCUCCCG
RNAcentral lists this transfer RNA (95 nucleotides) under Thermoleophilia bacterium. RNAcentral describes it as "tRNA-Asp". The stretch from base 32 to 95 matches the Rfam family "tRNA". Rfam says of the family: Transfer RNA (tRNA) molecules are approximately 80 nucleotides in length. Lineage: Bacteria; Bacillati; Actinomycetota; Thermoleophilia. The record is from RNAcentral.